AGGUUGGGAAAUGAAUGGUAAAAAGGUGACUCCACAGACUUCCACGUCAUCUUCCAUAAAAUGAGAAUGUGAUACCACCAUAUUUUUAUAUAUUAUCUGAUACAAAAAUUUUCACAUGGAGCCAUAGAUAAAGGUUGGAAGAGGUGCUGAGGUUCCCCAGAGGUUGUCCAGAAGGAGUAGUCUUUUGGACAGCAUGAAAAAAGCAGCCACAAUAAACCUAUCAGAACCACGGCUGAAACAUCAUGAGAUUUACAGACUAGUUUUUUAAAGUCCCAAGCAACAUUUAAAAGUAAUAACUUUAUGUACACUAGCUUAGGUAGAAAUUUCCUUUUAACUAUCUUCAUUUUCACACUUCGCAGAAAAAAUCUAUAGGAUUUAAUAAAAAUUAAUAUCCUUGGUAUAGAAUUUUAUAAAAUGGUUUAAAAGAAUUAUAGAAAAUAAAUACUUCUCUCUUCCAUUCUGUAUAUAUCUAGAGUAAUUUCUAUAUAUCUAACCCUACUGGCUUCAUCCCUGCUUAAUACUAUGAAAAAUUCCUAUAGUAUUCAAUAAUUAUUUCAAUGUAUGUCCUAACAGCAGCAUUAGCACAUUGUGGAUUAGAAUUGCCAGAUAAAUGCAUAGGUCAAACAGAGCUUCAGGAGCUUUUCCCUUCUAGAAAUAGAAAGUGAAUAAAUAAUGCAAAAAAAAAAAAAAGGUCUUUAGUAGCAAGUGCAUUCCUUUUUAGGGAUGAUGACAAAUCUACUCUUGAAGAAACUGAACUGGAAAAAAUAUCAUCAUAUAUACUUAUGAGUUUGGUAUUUUGAAUGAAUAAAUGUAUAAACAAGUGGAUCGGAUAAUUGAUUUUUAGAUGAGUUUUUUAUUUAAAUUAUUUCUUUUAAAAAUAAACUUGUUUAAAAAUAAAUUUUGAAUUAAAAAUCAGAUUAACACCUUAAUUUAUUGUAAUCUGUAAAAACAUUUAAAUAAAUAAAUGCUGAAUCCAUGAGCCUUUAUCAAGAAUCGGAGGAAAACAUCUAACUUUUGAGGUCAGUCUUUAUAAAUAUUGUAUAAUAGGUCAUGUAUUAAGAGCUUGUUUUGUUUAAUAAAAAUAUUAUGCUUUUUGUGUGUUUAAAUUCUAAUUACAAUCUUAAUGCAUCUUGACCACAUCAUGAGCAAGAAGUUACUUAUCUAGUAAAUAAGCAUAUCAUUAACCAUUUUCUAACAUUAAAAAUGUUCAAUAAGAAUCUGAAUAUUAAGCUUUAAAUAAUUGCUUAAAUAAAUUUGUAUAUAGUUAUAAUGUAUCACUGUUGGCAUCAAAAAGAUGUACCAAAUCUAGUGUAAAGGCUUUAUUUAGUUAUAAGUCAAUGUAUUUUUAAUGGCUAUAUCAAACAUGUAAAAUGCACCUUUCUUUAGAAAACAACUGUAGUACAAAUGAAAAAAGUUGAUUAAACUAAAUCAAUGGUUUAAACUGAA
Molecule: long non-coding RNA, 1446 nt
Organism: Gopherus flavomarginatus (Mexican gopher tortoise)
Lineage: Eukaryota; Metazoa; Chordata; Testudines; Testudinidae
Exons: 2
Source: RefSeq, a predicted model, not a curated record